GUACAGCCUCUCUCUCUCUCUCUCUCUCUCUCUCUCUCUCUCUCUCUCUCUCUCUCUCUCCGUAUUUUGCCUGUCUGUCCUCGUGUGUGUGUGUGUGUGUGUGUGUGUGUGUAUCUCAUUUAUUUAUUUAAGUUAUUUUUCUUCUUCACGCAGAUAGUAAUUUAUGAACACAACACACCACGUGGAGAGAAGCAAGGUGUGGAGUACCCAAGCCUCUCACAGUCCAUGCUAGUAGACUCACCCUGCAUGUGGAGAUCUCCCAAAAUGCACGGAGGUUAUUCCAGAGCUGAAGGACAGAGUACUUGAGGCCAUUGGUGAACAGAAAGCUGAGGUUGAACAAAGGUAGAGUAAAGAUUACACUGACAUUUGGGACAUUGACGUUGUUUGUUACCAGUAUUAUAUUGAUUCCUUUUAUUUCAGCCAAGAAUUGAUAGCUGCCCAAGGUGUAAGCAAGAUUCACAAUGAUGAGGUCAUUGUGACGUGUGCAAUGUGUCCACUGGUCUUGGCCUUCCUGACCAAGGCAGCCACACAAAGGAAAUUCCACGUUAUUGUUGCCGAACGUGCCCCUAAAUAUGAUGUAAGGUGUUUUAUGCGUCUCUUUCACGUCAUCGUGUCUGAUGUGCACAAUACAUAACACAGGGACUGCCACAUGUAGGGGUGAUGGCUUCUUGCAGCUUCCUUUAUUUUAUUACGUUCUUAUGUUCUCAAUACAUCUUUUACUUGUGCAGGGUCACCCAGUGGCAAAAGCUUUAUGUACUGCUGGAAUUGAGACAACAUUAAUUCAAGACUCUGCAGUGUUCCCCAUCAUGUCACGUGUCAACAAGGUCAUCAAAGGUCAUCGUUGGCACCGAGACGGUGGUGACCAACGGAGGCAUUGAGACCUUUGUUGGUGCAGCCUCUCUUGCCUCACCACCAAAGUUUUAUUCUGUUCCUCUGUAUGUGUGCACUCCCACAUACAAAUUUAGCUUGAUGGGCUGUGAAGAAAUAAGCCACCAAACCACCACUUCUAUUAUCCCAGAGGGAACAAAGUUUUGGCCGUCUGUAAAUACUGCGCUGACUCAGCUAGAUUACGUUCCUCCAGAAAAUGUCACCAGUUUGAUAACUAACAAUCGAGGUACUGCACCAUCCUACGUGUACCGGCAGCUUAGCGAACUGUACCGUCCCACUUCUUGUGAUCUCUAAGGUAACAGCUUUAAUCCUUGCAAAUAAGGAAUAAGAGAAAAGAGACACACCUGCCAUUUGUACUGUUAUGCUGUAGUGUUCUGUCAUUUUUUUCCUCUUUUAUCCUAGAACCAUUUUUGGUCAUUCAUGUUUAUAAAAAUUAUUAUACAAAAAUGUUGAGCUUAAUAUGUUUGGUGUAGUUUUUUGUAACAUGUGUUAUUGUUAAUGUGUGUGGUUCCCCUCAGGAAGAAUGUUGCAGUAUUAGCAGUAAUGUUACAGCCAAUGGAAGUGUCUGUAUUGUGCUUUGGUGGGAGGUUAAUUUGAUGUAUUUUUAGAGUUGUGCAGGAUAUAGCAAGCCCUCAAAAUAAAGAAAAUAACUAUAGAAAACA
Molecule: long non-coding RNA, 1550 nt
Organism: Scylla paramamosain (green mud crab)
Lineage: Eukaryota; Metazoa; Arthropoda; Malacostraca; Decapoda; Portunidae
Exons: 3
Source: RefSeq, a predicted model, not a curated record